GACGAACGCUGGCGGCGUGCUUAACACAUGCAAGUCGUACGGUAAGGCCCUUUCGGGGGUACACGAGUGGCGCACGGGUGAGUAACACGUGAGUAACCUGCCCACAACUUUGGGAUAACGCUAGGAAACUGGUGCUAAUACUGGAUAUGUGCUCCUGCUGCAUGGUGGGGGUUGGAAAGCUCCGGCGGUUGUGGAUGGACUCGCGGCCUAUCUGCUUGUUGGUGGGGGAGUGGCCUACCAAGGCGGCGACGGGUAGCCGGCCUGAGAGGGUGACCGGCCACAGUGGGACUGAGAUACGGCCCAGACUCCUACGGGAGGCAGCAGGGGGGAAUAUUGCACAAUGGGCGCAAGCCUGAUGCAGCAACGCCGCGUGCGGGAUGACGGCCUUCGGGUUGUAAACCGCUUUCAGCAGGGACGAAGCUUUUUGUGACGGUACCUGCAGAAGAAGCACCGGCUAACUACGUG
Molecule: ribosomal RNA, 465 nt
Filed under: uncultured bacterium
Lineage: Bacteria
Description: partial 16S ribosomal RNA
Rfam family: Bacterial small subunit ribosomal RNA
Source: RNAcentral